ACAGAGGUCUCAAGCGUUGUUCGGAUUCAUUGGGCGUAAAGGGUGCGUAGGCGGCGCGGUAAGUCGGGUGUGAAAUCUCGGAGCUUAACUCCGAAACUGCAUUCGAUACUGCCGUGCUUGAGGACUGGAGAGGAGACUGGAAUUUACGGUGUAGCGGUGAAAUGCGUAGAUAUCGUAAGGAAGACCAGUGGCGAAGGCGGGUCUCUGGACAGUUCCUGACGCUGAGACGCGAAAGCGUGGGGAGCGAACCGGA
This 253-nucleotide ribosomal RNA is filed under the name uncultured prokaryote. RNAcentral describes it as "partial 16S ribosomal RNA". It matches the Rfam family "Bacterial small subunit ribosomal RNA", at positions 525 to 777 of the family's 1533-position model. The record is from RNAcentral.